AGCUCCAAUAGCGUAUAUUAAAGUUGUUGCAGUUAAAAAGCUCGUAGUUGGAUAUCUGGUGGGAGCAAUGGGUCUCGCGCUUAGCGCGGGUACUUCAAUUGACUCCGGCCAUCCUUGGGGAGAGCCCGUCUGGCAUUAGGUUGUCGGGCGGGGGAUCCCCAUCGUUUACUGUGAAAAAAUUAGAGUGUUCAAAGCAGGCUUAUGCCGCUGAAUAUAUUAGCAUGGAAUAAUAAGAUAGGACUUUGGUACUAUUUUGUUGGUUUGUGUGCCUAAGUAAUGAUUAAUAGGAACAGUCGGGGGUAUUCAUAUUCCGUUGUCAGAGGUGAAAUUCUUGGAUUUACGGAAGAUGAACUACUGCGAAAGCAUUUACCAAGGAUGUUUUCAUUAAUCAAGAACGAAA
RNAcentral lists this ribosomal RNA (400 nucleotides) under phytoplankton environmental sample. RNAcentral describes it as "partial small subunit ribosomal RNA". It matches the Rfam family "Eukaryotic small subunit ribosomal RNA", at positions 587 to 988 of the family's 1831-position model. The record is from RNAcentral.